Molecule: ribosomal RNA, 480 nt
Filed under: uncultured Ahrensia sp.
Lineage: Bacteria; Pseudomonadati; Pseudomonadota; Alphaproteobacteria; Hyphomicrobiales; Ahrensiaceae
Description: bacterial SSU rRNA
Rfam family: Bacterial small subunit ribosomal RNA
Source: RNAcentral
ACAUGCAGUCGAACGCCCUCUUCGGAGGGAGUGGCAGACGGGUGAGUAACACGUGGGAAUCUACCUAUCGAUACGGAACAACACAUAGAAAUGUGUGCUAAUACCGUAUACGCCCUUCGGGGGAAAGAUUUAUCGUCGAUAGAUGAGCCCGCGCUUGAUUAGCUAGUUGGUGAGGUAAUGGCUCACCAAGGCGACGAUCAAUAGCUGGUCUGAGAGGAUGAUCAGCCACACUGGGACUGAGACACGGCCCAGACUCCUACGGGAGGCAGCAGUGGGGAAUAUUGGACAAUGGGCGCAAGCCUGAUCCAGCCAUGCCGCGUGUGUGAUGAAGGCCCUAGGGUUGUAAAGCACUUUCAACGGUGAAGAUAAUGACGGUAACCGUAGAAGAAGCCCCGGCUAACUUCGUGCCAGCAGCCGCGGUAAUACGAAGGGGGCUAGCGUUGUUCGGAAUAACUGGGCGUAAAGCGCACGUAGGCGGAU